RNAcentral lists this long non-coding RNA (1109 nucleotides) under Sus scrofa (pig). RNAcentral describes it as "lncRNA (ENSSSCG00065000683.1)". Lineage: Eukaryota; Metazoa; Chordata; Mammalia; Artiodactyla; Suidae. The record is from RNAcentral.
AAGGAAUGAUGGAAAGAAGAAAAGCAGCAAAGAAGGAAAUAAAAUUUUAUUUUGGACUGAAGAAAAGGAGAAAUAUUUAAGGUGAUGCAUGAGGAAAGGUCAGAAUAGAAAUAGGAGAAUGGAGUAUGGGAUUGGAGCCAGACAUUACUAGAUAGACCAGCAUCAUGAACCCAUAUUCAAAGUGAAUGAGGAGAGGAACUUUCAGGUAAGGAUGAACAGCUAUUCCUGUGGGGAACUUUGUGAGAUGUGACAAUACUUUGUGAAAGAUGCGACAUGUCUUGGUUUAUCUUUAAUUCCAGGAUGGCAAAGAAACAUGGCACGCCUUCAGCACUAUGAAUAUCCACAGAAACAUAGCCCUGUAUUCCUACUUGGAAGGUUCGUGACUUUGGGGAGAAUUGAAAACAUGCUCUUGACUUGGGCAUCAUCUGAGUCAUGCAACUCGUACAAUAAGAAAUCUUCCCAAAUCUCCAUCUUCUCAGAGAAGCGCUGGGGGAAAAUAGCUGCCGUCAUGUGUAUGCACACACUCCAGGAAAGGCAAAGGGUUCUUCCGAUGCUGAGACAAUGGGAGGCUGACAUUCAUGCUUUCAUGUUUCUCCAUGAGGUGGAAAUCAGGUACUUAGAGGCUGUCAUUGGGAACAUAGCCCUCGUCCUGGAGUCUCAGUCUGACAGAGCCCUAGGCAGCAGGGGGUGGAGGAAGGAGAGAGAGAAGGAGGAGAGAUUGAAGUCAGCUUUACUGACCCUAACUAAACAUUUCAUUUCCUUGACUCUUUCAACCAGAGGAAUUGAAGACUUGCUGGUGGAUCUCAUUAUGAUGUCUGGAUCUACCCUGGAACAGCAGACAAAACUUUCUGAUGCCAAUUAUUUCUCCAUACUUCUCAAUAUCACCCACUCUGAAAUCAAUAUCACUGUGCUCCAUUUAUUCAUAAGUAGGCUUCCUACAGGUCACCUCCAAGUACUUUGAUUACAUUCACAUUUCUUUAAAAAAUUUUAUAUCAUAGAAAUCUUUGUAGCAAUAUCCAAAAUUCAUUUUUCACACCUUCAAUCACAGAGACAUUCAUACAUAUUGAACACAGAAUAAAAAUUUACAAGACAGAAUAACCUUAAUUUCG